ACGAGUUACUUUUUCCGGCGAGGUUAAGGAUUUCAGAUCUGCAGCCGAAGCGAAAGCGAGUCUGAACAGGGCGUCGAGUCGGAAGGAGUAGACGCGAAACCAAGUGAUCUACCCUUGGGCAGGUUGAAGGAUGGGUAACACCAUCUGGAGGACCGAACCAAUAAGCGUUGAAAAGCUUCUGGAUGACCUGAGGGUAGGGGUGAAAGGCUAAUCAAACUCGGAGAUAGCUCGUACUCCCCGAAAUGCAUUUAGGUGCAGCCUCUUUAUAGUAUAUCGUGAGGUAGAGCGACUGAUUGGAUGCGAGGGCUUCACCGCCUAUCAAGUCCAGAUAAACUCCGAAUGCGCGAUAUAUAUUUAAAGGGAGUGAGGGCGCGGGUGCUAAGGUCCGUGUCCGAGAGGAGAAGAAUCCAGACCACCGGCUAAGGCCCCCAAAUGAUCGUUGAGUUGAACUAACGAGGUCGGAUCGCAGAGACAGCUAGGAUGUUGGCUUGGAAGCAGCCAUUCAUUUAAAGAGUGCGUAACAGCUCACUAGUCGAGGAGUUUGGCGUGGAUAAUAAUCGGGCAUAAGUAUUCUACCGAAGCUUUGGGAUGAGAAAUCAUCGGUAGGGGAGCAUUCCACUCGGCGUCGAAGGUGAGGCGCGAGCUUUGCUGGAGCGUGUGGAAAAGCAAAUGUAGGUAUAAGUAACGAUAAAGGGGGUGGGAAACCCCCUCGCCGAAAGACUAAGGUUUCCUGAUCAACGCUAAUCGGAUCAGGGUAAGUCGGGUCCUAAGGCUCAGCCGAACGGCGAGGCCGAUGGCAGAACCGGUUAAUAUUCCGGUACUACCUGUGGGAGUGACGUGGAGACGGAGUCGUGACAGCGCCGCGGACUGACGGAAUAGUCCGUUGAAGGGUGUAGAUGCUGAUUGUCCCAGGCAAAUCCGGGAUAAGAGUCGAACCUGAUAGUAUGGAGCGUUCUUAGAACAAUCCAAUAGUGCGUGUAAUCAUACUUCCAAGAAAAUCCGCUAAACUUAAUCCUGCAGGUACCCGUACCGCAAACGGACACACGUAGUCGGGUUGAAUAUACUAAGGCGCUCGAGUGAUUCACGGUUAAGGAACUAGGCAAAUUGACCCUGUAACUUCGGGAUAAAGGGUCCUCGUCGUAAGGCGAGGCGCAGAGAAUAGGUCCAGGCAACUGUUUAACAAAAACACAGGGCUGUGCCAAAUUGAAAGAUGACGUAUACAGCCUGACACCUGCCCGGUGCUGGAAGGUUAAGAGGAGAUGUCAUCGCAAGAGAAGCAUUGAAUUGAAGCCCCAGUAAACGG
This 1303-nucleotide ribosomal RNA is filed under the name Turicibacter sanguinis. RNAcentral's name for it is "partial 23S ribosomal RNA". It matches the Rfam family "Bacterial large subunit ribosomal RNA", at positions 623 to 1930 of the family's 2925-position model. The record is from RNAcentral. Lineage: Bacteria; Bacillati; Bacillota; Erysipelotrichia; Erysipelotrichales; Turicibacteraceae.